CACGGGGGGAGCAAGCGUUGUUCGGAAUCACUGGGCGUAAAGGGCGUGCAGGCGGUCAGGUAAGUGGGAUGUGAAAUGCCCCGGCUCACCCGGGGACCGGCAUCUCAUACUGCUUGGCUUGAGUACGGGAGAGGAUGUGGGAAUUCCUGGUGUAGCGGUGAAAUGCGUAGAUAUCAGGAGGAACACCGGUGGCGAAGGCGGGUCUCUGGGCAAUAACUGACGCUGAGGAGCGAAAGCGUGGGGAGCGAACAGG
This 253-nucleotide ribosomal RNA is filed under the name uncultured bacterium. RNAcentral's name for it is "partial 16S ribosomal RNA". It matches the Rfam family "Bacterial small subunit ribosomal RNA", at positions 524 to 776 of the family's 1533-position model. The record is from RNAcentral.